GGAGAGGUGUCCGAGUUGGUCGAAGGAGCAUGAUUGGAGAUCAUGUAUAGGGGAAACUCUAUCCUGGGUUCGAAUCCCAGCCUCUCCG
RNAcentral lists this transfer RNA (88 nucleotides) under bacterium. Its description in RNAcentral is "tRNA-Ser". It matches the Rfam family "tRNA". Rfam says of the family: Transfer RNA (tRNA) molecules are approximately 80 nucleotides in length. Their secondary structure includes four short double-helical elements and three loops (D, anti-codon, and T loops). Further hydrogen bonds mediate the characteristic L-shaped molecular structure. tRNAs have two regions of fundamental functional importance: the anti-codon, which is responsible for specific mRNA codon recognition, and the 3' end, to which the tRNAs corresponding amino acid is attached (by aminoacyl-tRNA synthetases). tRNAs cope with the degeneracy of the genetic code in two manners: having more than one tRNA (with a specific anti-codon) for a particular amino acid; and 'wobble' base-pairing, i.e. permitting non-standard base-pairing at the 3rd anti-codon position. RNAcentral also lists the same sequence under 3 other names. The record is from RNAcentral.